ACGCUCGACACCUACUGGAGGCAGCAGUGGGGAAUAUUGGGCAAUGGGCGCAAGCCUGACCCAGCAACGCCGCGUGAAGGAAGAAGGCCCUCGGGUUGUAAACUUCUUUUGACAGGGACGAAGAAAAUGACGGUACCUGUCGAAUAAGCCACGGCUAACUACGUGCCAACAGCCGCGGUAAUCUGAGCGGGCUGGCAAGGC
Molecule: ribosomal RNA, 201 nt
Filed under: uncultured bacterium
Lineage: Bacteria
Description: partial 16S ribosomal RNA
Rfam family: Bacterial small subunit ribosomal RNA
Source: RNAcentral